UUUUGUUAAGCAAAAUUUCUGCGUUGGUGUAAGGCAGAUUUUCCAGGCUUCAACAAACCAGAUGGCCAUCCAAAAAUGCGAUAUGAAAUUUUUAUAGGAAGCUAAGAGCUGAACCCAUCUAAGGGAGAGAUUUUUCAGAGAUUCCAAACUUUUAAAAAUAAAUAUUACUGCAAGAUCUUAGGUAUCUACAUUUGAACUGUAAUGAGUAAAUAAAUAGCCACAGUGAUAAUUACCUAAAUUCUAUAUUUAGAAGGAACAGAACACGUGCAAUAAACAAUAGCACAUUGUGAUAUUAAUGAAGCGCUUGCUUCCUCUAAAUGUAGAAAUUCAGCAAUUAUCACCAGAAUUGGCAUGUAUAAAGGUGCCGGUGACAAUUUUAAAAAGGCAUAUUGCUUAUCUGAUAGACCAGAAUGCAUGCUUUGGACCUGAUGCAUUCUGUUAUGAAGCAUUCAGUGACACAGUCCCACACUGAGCCAAGCUUAUGCUCGGCACAGCAACGGCUCUGGUGGGGAGAAGAGGUGAUUGCAAGCCUUCCUUCUGCUUGCCCCAACUUUGCGUUGGCCAGAGGCCAACUCAGCCAUCAGCACAAAUUAGAGCUGCUAUAAAGAUGUUCUACUUUACACCAGCAGGUUUGGACCCCUGAGGAGUGCACUACUCAGACAUCAGAGCGUGUAUUGAACUUCAGACCUUUCCCAUCAAACCUCUGUCAAGCUCCUUCCCCGCUAAAAGGAAACGUCUCCACAAGUUGGCUCACCAGGCUGCAGGAACCUGUUCACACGCAGAGGCUCCCAGUCCACAGGAGGUCACAACUAUCAUGCACUGCCGGGGCGGGAUGGAAAACUGCUGCAUGCGUUGGAGCAUCAUGGCCGUGAACAUACACAAGAUCAGGGGAAAAAGAUAACAUACAGUGAAGAAUUCAUACACCCGCCAUGCAAAAAAAAAAAAAGAGGUGACUCAAAUGACCGCAACUCAUGCCUUUCCCGUCUGAGAGGUAAUGUUGCCAGAGGACACGGGCUGCAGAAGGCUCUCCGUAGGUAGCUGCAGAGGCAUCCUAACCAGCUUUCUAGGAAUAACUGCGCUGUUUCUACAGAAACUUUCAGACACGAUAGCAUACGUGACUAUAUCCACAUCACUGAGACUUUAGAUACCAAAUCUAAAUAUUAAUUGGCACAAACUGCUCACAACAACUGAUCCCAUAGAAUAACCUCUCAGAAGCUUACAGUCUCAGUAACCUGACUCACUCAGCAGCUGUGCUGCCUCUGACUUCCCUACCACCACCAUACACUGUCCCUCUCUGCAACGGGCCAAAGACACGAGGGUGAAAUCAUUGCCAUGAGGACAGAAGAGAUACCACUUCUCAGGCUCCUAACUUUUGGGUAGCUGCCUGACUUGGCAAAAGUAGUUGAAGUAUGCUAGCACAGGUCUGGGAGCGCUGGCCGUGGCAGCCAGAAAGGAACCACUCCUCUCACGCUGGGACAGAUCCCUCCAUCUGCCUCUAAACGAAACCUGGGGUCUCUUCUCCUACCAGUCUUGUGAACUCCUAAAAAUCAUGUACUGUAGCAUCCCAGUCCAAUAAACUAAUAAACAC
Molecule: long non-coding RNA, 1588 nt
Organism: Falco peregrinus (peregrine falcon)
Lineage: Eukaryota; Metazoa; Chordata; Aves; Falconiformes; Falconidae
Exons: 2
Source: RefSeq, a predicted model, not a curated record